This 597-nucleotide ribosomal RNA is filed under the name Triticum aestivum (bread wheat). Its description in RNAcentral is "partial small subunit ribosomal RNA". The record is from RNAcentral. Lineage: Eukaryota; Viridiplantae; Streptophyta; Magnoliopsida; Poales; Poaceae.
AUGGUUGGGCCUUUGAGGACUGGCAGGAGUGGAUUUACCCAUGUGCUGGUAGCAGUCGACAAGUUUACCAAAUGGAUUGAAGCCAAACCCAUUAAAAACCUUGAAGCAAGUACAGUUGUAAGUUUCAUCAGAGAAUUGACAUUCAGAUAUGAUGUUCCACACAGCAUCAUCACUGAUAAUGGGUCGAACUUCGAUUCUGACGAGUUCAGAGCUUUUUGUGCUUCACAAGGCACGAGGGUCGACUACGCUUCAGUCGCCCAUCCUCAGUCAAAUGGGCAGGCUGAAAGAGCAAAUGGAUUGAUUCUCAAAGGACUGAAACCCCGGUUGAUGCGUGACCUCAAGCAUGCAGCAGGUGCCUGGGUCGACGAACUUCCAUCAGUACUUUGGGGAUUGAGGACAACUCCUAAUAGGUCGACUGGACGAACUCCAUUCUUCUUGGUCUGCGGAGCUGAAGCUGUACUCCUGAGUGAUUUGCUUCACAAUGCACCCCGAGUCGAACUUUUCUCAGAAGAAGAAGCAGAACAGGCUCGGCAAGAUGCAGUCGAUCUCCUGGAAGAGGAAAGACAAAUGGCCUUGAUUCGGUCAACCAUUUAUUAG